This 495-nucleotide ribosomal RNA is filed under the name uncultured bacterium. RNAcentral describes it as "partial 16S ribosomal RNA". It matches the Rfam family "Bacterial small subunit ribosomal RNA", at positions 28 to 507 of the family's 1533-position model. The record is from RNAcentral.
GACGAACGCUGGCGGCGUGCCUAAUACAUGCAAGUAGAACGCUGAAGGAGGAGCUUGCUCUUCUGGAUGAGUUGCGAACGGGUGAGUAACGCGUAGGUAACCUGCCUGGUAGCGGGGGAUAACUAUUGGAAACGAUAGCUAAUACCGCAUAACAGUAGAUGUUGCAUGACAUUUGCUUAAAAGGUGCAAUUGCACCACUACCAGAUGGACCUGCGUUGUAUUAGCUAGUUGGUGGGGUAAUGGCUCACCAAGGCGACGAUACAUAGCCGACCUGAGAGGGGGAUCGGCCAAACUGGGACUGAGACACGGCCCAGACUCCUACGGGAGGCAACAGUAGGGAAUCUUCGGCAAUGGACGGAAGUCUGACCGAGCAACGCCGCGUGAGUGAAGAAGGUUUUCGGAUCGUAAAGCUCUGUUGUAAGAGAAGAAAGAGUGUGAGAGUGGAAAGUUCACACUGUGACGGUAUCUUACCAGAAAGGGACGGCUAACUACGUG